GAAGGCCCUUCAAACCGGCUGGAUUAUUUUUAUUCACCCUUGUCUUUUGCGCACUUGUUGUUUCCUGGGCGGGUUCGCUCGCCACCAGGACCACAUCAUAAACCUUUUUUGUUAAUGCAAUCAGCGUCAGUAUAACAAAUGUAAAUCAUUUACAACNUUUCAACAACGGAUCUCUUGGUUCUGGCAUCGAUGAAGAACGCAGCGAAAUGCGAUACGUAGUGUGAAUUGCAGAAUUCAGUGAAUCAUCGAAUCUUUGAACGCACAUUGCGCCCUUUGGUAUUCCAAAGGGCAUGCCUGUUCGAGCGUCAUUUGUACCCUCAAGCUUUGCUUGGUGUUGGGCGUUGUUUGUCUUUGGUCCGCCCAAAGACUCGCCUUAAAACAAUUGGCAGCCGGCCUACUGGUUUCGCAGCGCAGCACAUUUUUGCGCUUGCAAUCAGCAAAAGAGGUUGGUCAUCCAUCAAGACUACAUUUAUACGUUUGACCUCGGAUCAGGUAGGGAUACCCGCUGAACUUAAGCAUAUCAAU
RNAcentral lists this ribosomal RNA (525 nucleotides) under Bipolaris sp. OY32107. RNAcentral describes it as "eukaryotic LSU rRNA". The stretch from base 155 to 308 matches the Rfam family "5.8S ribosomal RNA". The record is from RNAcentral. Lineage: Eukaryota; Fungi; Ascomycota; Dothideomycetes; Pleosporales; Pleosporaceae.